UCAACACUUGGAUAUACUUUAUCACAGACUGUGUGCCCAACUCCAAUGCAUAUGGUGAAGACAUAACCCAGAGUGUGACUGUAUUUGGAGAAGGGAUCUUUGAACAGUAAUUAAGUCUGGUGGGGAGAGGAACCCUCACAGCCCAGGUCUCUAGCAGAUAUUCUAGUUCGCAUGCUCCAUAUGAAGGAAGCCAUGUAUUAAAUUGGGAUGAGCCCUUGCAUUUCAUCACAGAAAUGUUUUGGCCACAAGGCAUGUGGGAUCUUAGCUCCUCCACCAGGGAUCAAACCUCACACCCUUUGCAGUGGAAGGGAAAGUCUUAACCACUGGUCCACCAGGAAGUUCCUCAGCAUUUCAAUGUGAAGAGAGCAAGAAUAACCUUCAAAGAAGUUUUUGAUCUGAGAUACCCAUUUUCUUGGACCGUAAUCUUAACCCAUAUGCCAUCUAACUAUGAACUUCUUUUUGAUGAGAAAAGCUGAAAAGGGAGAGAAAUGGUCUGGAUCUAAUCUGGCAGGCAGAAGUAUAUGCUACAAAGAAAGGAGAAAGCAGGGCCAUUUUCACCAGACAGAAAGAAGAAAGGAAUGCAGUGGAAGAGCCAGGGAGUCAGUGAACGUGUCUGAAAAACAAAGCUAUCGCUGAGAAGUCCCUGCGAGAACCCUUUUCACCUGUGUAUCCAAAGGUCAGGUCCUGAGCCCAUUUCACUACAUUAGCAUCGUCGGAACUAAGCCUUA
Cervus elaphus (red deer) is the source of this 728-nucleotide long non-coding RNA. RefSeq lists it as uncharacterized. The record is from RefSeq and is a predicted model, not a curated record. The transcript is spliced from 5 exons. NCBI's taxonomy places the organism in Eukaryota, Metazoa, Chordata, Mammalia, Artiodactyla, Cervidae.